GACGAACGCUGGCGGCGUGCUUAACACAUGCAAGUCGAGCGGUAAGGCCCUUCGGGGUACACGAGCGGCGAACGGGUGAGUAACACGUGGGUGACCUGCCUCUAGCUCUGGGAUAAGCCUGGGAAACUGGGUCUAAUACCGGAUAUGAUCUUGCCUCGCAUGGGGUGGGGUGGAAAGUUUUUCGGCUGGGGAUGGGCCCGCGGCCUAUCAGCUUGUUGGUGGGGUGAUGGCCUACCAAGGCGA
RNAcentral lists this ribosomal RNA (243 nucleotides) under uncultured Actinomycetes bacterium. Its description in RNAcentral is "uncultured actinobacterium partial 16S ribosomal RNA". It matches the Rfam family "Bacterial small subunit ribosomal RNA", at positions 28 to 276 of the family's 1533-position model. Lineage: Bacteria; Bacillati; Actinomycetota; Actinomycetes. The record is from RNAcentral.